GAUGAACGCUAGCGGCAGGCUUAACACAUGCAAGUCGAGGGGUAUAGUUCUUCGGAGCUAGAGACCGGCGCACGGGUGCGUAACGCGUAUGCAAUCUACCUUUUACAGAGGGAUAGCCCAGAGAAAUUUGGAUUAAUACCUCAUAGUAUGUGAGAAUCGCAUGGUUUUCACAUUAAAGUUCCAACGGUAAAAGAUGAGCAUGCGUCCCAUUAGCUAGAUGGUAAGGUAACGGCUUACCAUGGCGACGAUGGGUAGGGGUCCUGAGAGGGAGAUCCCCCACACUGGUACUGAGACACGGACCAGACUCCUACGGGAGGCAGCAGUGAGGAAUAUUGGACAAUGGGCGCAAGCCUGAUCCAGCCAUGCCGCGUGCAGGAUGACGGUCCUAUGGAUUGUAAACUGCUUUUGUACAGGAAGAAACACUCCCUCGUGAGGGAGCUUGACGGUACUGUAAGAAUAAGGAUCGGCU
Molecule: ribosomal RNA, 469 nt
Filed under: uncultured bacterium
Lineage: Bacteria
Description: bacterial SSU rRNA
Rfam family: Bacterial small subunit ribosomal RNA
Source: RNAcentral